Molecule: ribosomal RNA, 450 nt
Filed under: uncultured organism
Description: partial 16S ribosomal RNA
Rfam family: Bacterial small subunit ribosomal RNA
Source: RNAcentral
GUACACUCCUGCGGGAGGCAGCAGUGGGGAAUAUUGGACAAUGGGCGCAAGCCUGAUCCAGCCAUGCCGCGUGAGUGAUGAAGGCCCUAGGGUUGUAAAGCUCUUUCACCGGUGAAGAUAAUGACGGUAACCGGAGAAGAAGCCCCGGCUAACUUCGUGCCAGCAGCCGCGGUAAUACGAAGGGGGCUAGCGUUGUUCGGAUUUACUGGGCGUAAAGCGCACGUAGGCGGACUAUUAAGCCAGGGGUGAAAUCCCGGGGCUCAACCCCGGAACUGCCUUUGAUACUGGUAGUCUUGAGUUCGAGAGAGGUGAGUGGAAUUCCGAGUGUAGAGGUGAAAUUCGUAGAUAUUCGGAGGAACACCAGUGGCGAAGGCGGCUCACUGGCUCGAUACUGACGCUGAGGUGCGAAAGCGUGGGGAGCAAACAGGAUUAGAUACCCUUGUAGUCCCA